CAUCACAAUGCUACCAAUUUUAAUAAAAUUCACCCAAAAUUCUAAACUAGCUUGAGCUUGCUUAGGGAUCAAGUGUCAUAAUCAGAAAAUAUAUAGCAAAGAAUAUAUCUAAAAAUUAUUUGAAUCAGUAAUAUCUCAUGACUUUGUGCUUUAACCUCCCAGUCAAAAUAAUUCAAAUUCCCUCUGCCCCUUAAUAACAACUCCACGUCUCCAUGGGUAAGUAUGGGGAUUGGAACUCUGCUCCUUGAGGUUAUUCCUCUCAAGGCCUCUGUCAUUUCUCCCGCUGCUUUAUUCACAUCUCCAUUCAUUGUUGUCCUAGGUUGGGUGUUAAGUAAAGAGCAGGGAUAUCACAGGAAUGUUGAAAUGAAUAACAUUUCAUAGCACCACUAAUAAUUAUACCCAACAAUGAAUGCACAGUGUAUACUAACCGUGAUUGCUUAACAGUUAACACUGCAAGUCAACAACACAAGGAACUCUGCCAAGGUCUCCUCAGCAAUAGAUAGGAG
This 506-nucleotide long non-coding RNA is filed under the name Panax ginseng (ginseng). RNAcentral describes it as "long non-coding RNA (PGIN_LNC012584)". The record is from RNAcentral. Lineage: Eukaryota; Viridiplantae; Streptophyta; Magnoliopsida; Apiales; Araliaceae.